This 253-nucleotide ribosomal RNA is filed under the name uncultured bacterium. RNAcentral describes it as "partial 16S ribosomal RNA". It matches the Rfam family "Bacterial small subunit ribosomal RNA", at positions 524 to 776 of the family's 1533-position model. The record is from RNAcentral.
UACGUAGGGGGCUAGCGUUGUCCGGAAUCAUUGGGCGUAAAGAGCGUGUAGGCGGCCCGGUAAGUCCGCUGUGAAAGUCGGGGGCUCAACCCUCGAAUGCCGGUGGAUACUGUCGGGCUAGAGUGCGGAAGAGGCGAGUGGAAUUCCUGGUGUAGCGGUGAAAUGCGCAGAUAUCAGGAGGAACACCGAUGGCGAAGGCAGGUCUCUGGGCCGCAACUGACGCUGAGGAGCGAAAGCAUGGGGAGCGAACAGG